GAAAAUAAUAUCAGAAAUUUCAUGUUAAAACCUUGGUCUGCUUAAUUAUAAAUAAAUACCAGCGUCGUACAACUUCAAUAUUCAUUGAAAAUGUGCACCCUACUUCACGAAGUGUUAAACCAGCUUGCUCCAGAAUUUCGAUACAUUUCUAAAACAUAUUGCCGAGGUUUAUCCCCCAAAAUUCCAACGUUAUGUAAGUGCGCGACAUUUUGUAGAAAAGACACCUUCAGUCGUAAAAACAAAAUGAACACUUUAGUUUCACUUUCUGUCACAGUAUACCUCAUUUUACCCCGGGAAUUUUCUCUGAAAGACAUCUCUGCAGAAAGUAUUUGUGGCAUGACGUCAGCAGCUGGGGAGCUGACCGGAACUUGGGGCUGACCGGAAGGGGCAGCAGUGACACGCGCGCAGCAAGGGCAGCAUUCUGCUUUUUUUGAGGCAGGUCGCUGAGCGGGUAAGACGGGAUCAGCACGUUGUUAAGGUUGGGAGAAGCAGCUGCUAUAUCUAGCGUUGAAGGGUCUCCAUCUGAGCAAAGAGAAGAACCGUCAACACUGUUGAGAGAAAGGUAUCAUCAAACUGAAGGCUGGUGUGAAUGCUUGCAACAGAGUGAACUUUGCUGGAAGUUCCAAAGGGCCAAGUGGUGGUGUUAAACUGAGUUAUAGAUUAAAUCUACUAUCCAUGUAAGCCACAGCAGGAUCUGAACUAAGAAUGCAGGGCCAGAACAAAUCCCACAAGACAUCUUGUUCAACAUUAAUGAUUUCACUAGUCCACCACACUAGCCCAGAAGGAUGAAAGCCAAAGUUAACCGUAGCAGGAUUUUAACUCAGAACGCAGACAACUGAAAUAAACACUGCAAGAUAUUUCUAUUCCAGAAUAAAAUACAUUAAAAAAAUU
RNA transcript from Octopus sinensis (East Asian common octopus), 891 nucleotides. RefSeq lists it as uncharacterized. Lineage: Eukaryota; Metazoa; Mollusca; Cephalopoda; Octopoda; Octopodidae. The transcript is spliced from 3 exons. The record is from RefSeq and is a predicted model, not a curated record.